RNAcentral lists this long non-coding RNA (2227 nucleotides) under Homo sapiens (human). RNAcentral's name for it is "non-protein coding lnc-AKAP9-3:2". The record is from RNAcentral. Lineage: Eukaryota; Metazoa; Chordata; Mammalia; Primates; Hominidae.
ACUCUGUGAAGCCGUGGUCUUCUUGCGCGGGAUAGGGCACCUGAGGAAGCGGGCUGCGCCUGUGGCACAGUGGUACGGGGCCGGAAGAUAACUUACCUGAAGAGGCGAUCAAUCCCUGAGAAUCGCGGGCGACCCGUUUUUUGUGUGCCCGGGUGCGGGGUGCCGGGACACGGCGUUGAAGGCGCUGAGCGGAGGGAUCUCAGGGCGAGCUCGAGCGGCGACGGCGCGCUCUGUGAUUGCACCGCGAGCGCCUGAGGUGAUCUCGGCCUACAUCGCGUCAGCGGGGCCUUGGGCGUGAGCACCGCCCCCUGUCCGGACGCAGGGUACUGGGGCACCUCGAACUGUGGCACCUCACCCUUCUCCGGGGCCACGUCUUGGGGACUCCGACAGCCCCAAAUAAGCCCUCGGGGACUGGGGUUGUGAAAAGCGAGGUCGUGAAGACGCCGGCCUCAUACCGAAGGGUAGGACGGUGAGGUCAGCCCCGUCCCACUCCAACUAAAAUCAACCUGACAGGUAUUAAUAUGCCACCAUGAAGUUAACAAAUGUUGGUGAUUAAGUAUGCUAGGUUUUACGAAAACAGAUUUUCCAAAAUAAAUGUACAUGUUUUAGGACGUCGCGAGCCGUUUGAGGCAGCAUUCCCCAAGGACGCCACUUAGUCUGUAGGUUUAGCGGCUAGAAAGAUUCAGAAGCUGAGUUCAGUCCUGCCGCCACAAUCAAUCUUCGCUCCUAUGGCUUCACAGAAGCGUCUCCCAUGACUACCAAAUUUAACUCCUUCCAGAUCACCCACGGGAGCACCUGACCGGAUUCAUUUAUUUAAUCAAUGUUAAGAACUAGGUUUUGUGCUAAGCUAGGGGAUAGAGCAGCGAAUGAGACAAAACUGCAAGGCCCUGGGGGAAUUAGUAGGAAUAUCCAGUGAAAGGGAAAUUAAUGAAUUUUAUAAGUAUACUAAUCAAGAAGUAUAUUCUUUUCCUUUGAGGUAGAAUGUAAUAUAGCACCUCCCCUACCCAAGGCCUGGGUUAAGAGUAUAUUAACUGCUUAUUUCUCCCCUAUGCGUGGAGAGGCUUAUCUGUGUUCCAUCGUUUCACAUUCCUUGAGGCACAGCGAGUUCUUGCUUCCCUCCCUAGCGCUGCUGUAAAGUCACAAAACUGAUUAGCAAGUGUUACAAAAGCAUGUAUUCCCAAGGACGUAAGACAUAUGGUGUUCGCGGUGGCUCACGCCUGUAAUCCCUGCACUUUGGGAGGCCGAGGCGGGAGGAUCACCUGAGGUCAAGAGUUCGAGACCAGCCUCACCAACAUGAUGAAACCUCGUCUCUACUAAAAAUACAAAAUAUUAGCCGGACGUGGUGGCAGACGCCUUUAAUCCCAGCUACUCGGGAGGCUGAGGCAGGAGAAUCACUUGAACCUGGGAGGCAAAGGUUGCAGUGAGCCGAGAUUGCGUCACUGUACUCCAGCCUGGGCAACAAGAGCAAAACUCUGUCUCAAAAAAAAAAAAAAAAAAAAGAAAGAAACUGUGAUAUAUAUAAAUAUAUAUUUAUAUAUUUAUAUAUGGAAUGGAAUGCUACGUGGUCACAAAAAGGAAUGAAUGAAUGGCAUUUUCAGCAACCUGGAUGGGAUUGAAGACUAUUAUUCUAAGUGAAGUAACUCAGGAAUGGAAAACAAAACAUCAUAUGUUCUCACUCCUAAGUGAGAGCUAAGCUAUGAGGAUGCAAAGGCAUAAGAAUGACACAAUGGACUAUGGGGACUCAGGGAAAGGGUGGAAGGGGGUGAGGGAUAAAAGAUUACAAAUUGGGUUCAGUGUAUACUACUCGGCGAUGGUUGCACCAAAAUCUCACAAAUCACCACUAAAGAACUUACUCAUGUAACCAAAUACCACAUUUCUUAAAACCCUAUGGAAAUAAAAAAUUAAAAAAGAAAAAAGAACCCAACAGUCUUCUAUUAAGCCAGGUGUAAAAGAGAUUUACAAAAAUCUAAAACUAUGCCAUUCUUCUCACUAAUAUUUUAUUUUUGAAAAUAUAGCUAUAGGCCGGGUGCGGUGGCUUACUCCUGUAAUCCCACCACUUUGGGAGGCCCUGGUGGGUAGAUCACAAGUUCAGGAGUUUGAGACCAGCCUGACCAACAUGGUGAAACACCAUCUCUACUAAAAAUACAAAAAUUAGCCAGGCAUGGUGGCGCGUGCCUGUAAUCCCAGCUACUCAGGAGGCUGAGGCAGGAGAAUCGCUUGAACUCGC